AAAUAACUUCUUUGCUUCCGGUAUAUAUUCUAUUUUCCCGUACCCAACCUACCACUCUCGCCCCCACUUCAUUUUUUUCUUUUUUUUUUCGGAUUUGAAUCGAUCCACCAGGCCAGCCCACAGAUCGGUGACACACCAUGGAGGAGGAGGACGACACCGUGGCGAAGGCACUGCUUCGGUCCUCGCUGCCGGACGCCGGGCAACACCUUAACCAGCAAGCAGGUGUUCACCUGGGCGAAGAGCAACAACCGGCGCCCACUCCACAUCGGCGACAUUAACAGAACAAGCAAAUGUGGGAGGCUGGGAGUAAAUGAAAAACUGCACGGAGUAAAUUCGUUACUUUGA
RNAcentral lists this long non-coding RNA (345 nucleotides) under Oryza sativa tropical japonica subgroup. RNAcentral describes it as "lncRNA OsAzu_11g0024460". Lineage: Eukaryota; Viridiplantae; Streptophyta; Magnoliopsida; Poales; Poaceae. The record is from RNAcentral.